AGUGAACGCUGGCGGUAGGCCUAACACAUGCAAGUCGAACGGCAGCACAGUAAGAGCUUGCUCUUACGGGUGGCGAGUGGCGGACGGGUGAGGAAUACAUCGGAAUCUACUUUUUCGUGGGGGAUAACGUAGGGAAACUUACGCUAAUACCGCAUACGACCUACGGGUGAAAGCAGGGGAUCUUCGGACCUUGCGCGAUUGAAUGAGCCGAUGUCGGAUUAGCUAGUUGGCGGGGUAAAGGCCCACCAAGGCGCCGAUCCGUAGCUGGUCUGAGAGGAUGAUCCGCCCCACUGGAACUGGAACACGGUCCAGACUCCUAAGGGAGGCAGCAGUGGGGAAUAUUGGACAAUGGGCGGAAGCCUGAUCCAACCAUACCGCGUGGGUGGAAAAGGCCUUCGGGUUGUAAAGCCCUUUUGUUGGGAAAGAAAAGCAGCAGGUUAAUACCCCGCUGUUCUGACGGUACCCAAAGAAUAAGCACCGGCUAACUUCGUG
RNAcentral lists this ribosomal RNA (492 nucleotides) under uncultured bacterium. RNAcentral's name for it is "partial 16S ribosomal RNA". It matches the Rfam family "Bacterial small subunit ribosomal RNA", at positions 29 to 507 of the family's 1533-position model. The record is from RNAcentral.